UAAAGUUAGAGCAAGUUUUUUAUUCUAUACUCUAAGAAACAAAACUAUAAUAGGUGGCUGGCUGGGCAAAUGUCAAUUAUAUUUUUAUUUAUUCCCUCAUUCAACAGAUAUUUAUUAACAUUCUAUUGGGCAGUCACUCUGAUGAAAAUAUUGACAAAGUUAUCUCCAUGGAGUUUGCAUUCAUAUCAAGUGGAAGUGCUUAGGCCUGAGGCUUUUUCUCUUGAAUGAUCUACCAUGUUCCCAGGAGUUCCAGAGCCAUACAUCUGUGGAUGCUUGAAGAAAAGGAGAACCUAAGACCAAGUUCCAUGGAUUGAAAACAACAGCAGUAGCAACCACUAAACAUAAAGUUAUGCCCAGGGGCUGCUCCUCAUACUCUCAGAAACAAGUUGGUCCAGGAUGAUUUCCAGCUGUUCCUGUGCACACAGCGCCACUGGGAGACAGAAUAGCUGGUCUCAUGGCCAUGGACAGGCUAGAGGAAAGAGUAGGUUCUGAGGUUUGCAUUUGGUGAGAGUAUGUUGCCCUCCACAUGGCAAAGAUUCAGGAAUGAAUAAAGACAAGGAAAGGAAUGAGCAGAAAUGAAAAUCAUUAUUGAGAGAAACUUGGGCAUCUGCUGUCAGAAUGAAAAGAAAAAGCCUCCAUCAACACAUGAAAGGAAGUCCAGACUGAGGGAAGGAAGAGUCUGCAAUUACACAGUACCAGGGUCAAUAUUCAGAAGCCUUGGAGUCUUCCAGCAGUUAUGGCCAAGAGGAGGACUUGCACCAACUUAUCACAGCAAGUGAAGCUUUUCUUGCACUGUAUUUCUUAAGGAAAUUCUCACACUGGACAAUCAGUGAGGGAACUGGACAAUUUUGUCAUUCACAGCUUUAGAGAGAACACAGAUCUCUGAUCUUCAGUUGCUUCCAUCAGUUCUUCCCAUCCUCCUGAGGCUUCUUAAGAAGUCAAGGGAUGGGGCUCUGGAAAUGUGCUUGAAGCCAGGUGGAGUUACCUUGUCUCCAUGGCAAAGACAGGCAGGUGCUCAGGGCCUUUGGAGAAACAGGAGGAUGUUUUUUUGUGACCAUUCCUUAGCCUUCCAUUUACUCUUGGACCUCUGUCUGUGACUAUGAAUAGCUUGGCCAUGCAGCACAGUAAGACACAUAUUCUACCUAACCAUCCCAUGAGCACAUUCACACUUGCCACAUGUGUGCACUCAGAUCAUUUCAAACAAUAAUCCCCCAAAUUCCCUGAGCAAUAUUUUCUCAUGUCACAGUGAACUGCUCUGAUUCUUAAAAUGCUAUCAAUUCUAUUUUUAAAGUGUUGCUUGUCACCAACUGAAAAAUUAAUUUCAUGACUCACAAUGGGUCAUGACUUGUGAUUUGAAAAACAGUACUCUGAAUCCUUUGUUCUCAACCAAGACAGCUGUUCAAACUUUACUCAUUUGUGUCCCUGGAUGAUAUAAUACAUACCCACUAAUGUAUAUAUGUGGUAAAAUAUCCUUAGUGAUUCUAGUGUGCCCCUUACCAUCCCCUAGCCAAUCCAAAGUGACAAGAUGCUAGGAAAAAUAAACAAAAGGGAGAGAAGAGGAAGAAUUUUUCCUAAGAUUUAGAGCACAGCUUGUCUUUUCUGUCCCAGAGAGUACCAGCUCCUAAUAAAAAAGAAGUUCUAGAUUCCAACUAGGACACAAGAAAGCUGGAUGUGAUGGCACAUGCCCGUUAUGCCAGAACUCUAGUAGGGUGAGGCAGGAGGUUCAAAAGUUUGUGUCUAACCUGAGCCACUCAGUGAGACCCUCUGUUAAAAGCUAAUUAACUAAAUAUAUUGAUAGAUGAAUAAAAAAUUUAAAAAGGG
Long non-coding RNA from Heterocephalus glaber (naked mole-rat), 1821 nucleotides. RefSeq lists it as uncharacterized. The record is from RefSeq and is a predicted model, not a curated record. Lineage: Eukaryota; Metazoa; Chordata; Mammalia; Rodentia; Bathyergidae.